UUCCAAGUCUAGAUGUAAUAUAUUAAGAAACGAUCAACUUUGGCAGUCAAAAUGAAAAUAUACUGAAUCAUGAAUGUUUGCAUUUGGUGAUCAGGGUUUCACAGAGAACAUAUUGAGGGAUUCUUGUGCUGGCACCAGCUGCUUAACCAUCAAGGAUUCUGUUAUGAAAUACUAUUCCUGGAAGAAGGCCUUUUGAGGAAUGAAGUAUAUCCUCUUUGAG
This 220-nucleotide non-coding RNA is filed under the name Pongo abelii (Sumatran orangutan). The record is from RNAcentral. Lineage: Eukaryota; Metazoa; Chordata; Mammalia; Primates; Hominidae.